RNAcentral lists this ribosomal RNA (406 nucleotides) under uncultured bacterium. RNAcentral describes it as "partial 16S ribosomal RNA". It matches the Rfam family "Bacterial small subunit ribosomal RNA", at positions 29 to 526 of the family's 1533-position model. The record is from RNAcentral.
AUUGAACGCUGGCGGCAGGCCUAACACAUGCAAGUCGAACGAGUGGCGGACGGGUGAGUAAUGUCUGGGAAACUGCCUGAUGGAGGGGGAUAACUACUGGAAACGGUAGCUAAUACCGCAUACCAUCAGAUGUGCCCAGAUGGGAUUAGCUUGUGGGUGGGGUAACGGCUCACCAAGGCGACGAUCCCUAUCUGGUCUGAUAGGAUGAGCAGACACACUGGAACGGUGACACGGGGCGGACUCCUACGGGAGGCAGCAGUGGGGAAUAUUGCACAGUGGGCGCAAGCCUGAUGCAGCCAUGCAGCGUGUAUGAAGAAGGCCUUCGGGUUGUAAAGUACGUUCAGCGGGGAGGCGGUGCCAGCAGAAGAAGGACCGGCUAACUCCGUGCCAGCAGCCGCGGUAAUAC